AUGGCUCCAGCUUCCGCCUCGCUCCUCGCCGGCGCCAAGCGCUCCGCGGACGCUACUGAGCUUCCACAAGCGCAGGAGGGCGCGCUGACCAAGAAGAACGGCCAGAGCCAGCAGCAGAAGCUGGAGUGCCCGCGGUGCAGCUCCAGCGACACCAAAUUCUGCUACUACAACAACUACAGCACGGCGCAGCCGCGCCACUACUGCCGCACCUGCCGCCGCUACUGGACGCACGGCGGCACGCUGCGCAACGUGCCCGUCGGCGGGGCAUGCCGCCGCGGCGGCAGCAGCAAGCGCCGCAGGCCCUCCGCUGAGCCCCAGACGACCUCCUCCGACUCGCCGCAGCCGGACCUCCAGGAGACGCGCCUUCUCUCCGACCACCCGCUCCCAGUCUUCCCGUUCCUCACCGACGGCGGCCCCGUCUUCCUGCCGCAGUUCGAUCUCGGGCUCGGCGGGUUCCCCUGGACACCGGCGACCAUGGACCACCUCUACGACGGGCUCGCGGCGCCGUGGGGUGGCUGCGACCGGGCGCUCGCCCCCACCGGCGCAUGGGACGACUUCGGCGGCCUCGAGCUCGCCUGGCCACCACCGCCACCGGCCGGGAACUGA
Molecule: ribosomal RNA, 606 nt
Filed under: Triticum aestivum (bread wheat)
Lineage: Eukaryota; Viridiplantae; Streptophyta; Magnoliopsida; Poales; Poaceae
Description: partial small subunit ribosomal RNA
Source: RNAcentral